This 74-nucleotide transfer RNA is filed under the name Lentisphaerota bacterium. RNAcentral's name for it is "Lentisphaerae bacterium (anaerobic digester metagenome) tRNA-Gln". It matches the Rfam family "tRNA". Rfam says of the family: Transfer RNA (tRNA) molecules are approximately 80 nucleotides in length. Their secondary structure includes four short double-helical elements and three loops (D, anti-codon, and T loops). The record is from RNAcentral. Lineage: Bacteria; Pseudomonadati; Lentisphaerota.
UGCCGGAUGGUGUAACGGUAGCACAGCAGAUUCUGGAUCUGUUUGCCUAGGUUCGAAUCCUAGUCCGGCAACCA